AACUCCUGUUUUAGACGGUGUUGUCUGAGCUACAAGCAACGAAUCAAAACUUUCAACAACGGAUCUCUUGGUUCUGGCAUCGAUGAAGAACGCAGCGAAAUGCGAUAAGUAGUGUGAAUUGCAGAAUUCAGUGAAUCAUCGAAUCUUUGAACGCACAUUGCGCCCCUUGGUAUCCCGAGGGGCAUGCCUGUUCGAGCGUCAUUUCACCACUCAAGCCUGGCUUGGUGUUGGGUGACGUCCAUUUUAAGGACGCGCCUCGAAACGCUCGGCGGCGUGGCACCGGCUUUAAGCGUAGCAGAAUCUUUCGCUUCGAAAGUCGGGGCUCCGUCUGCCGGAAGACCCAU
This 344-nucleotide ribosomal RNA is filed under the name uncultured Cenococcum. RNAcentral describes it as "eukaryotic LSU rRNA". The stretch from base 48 to 201 matches the Rfam family "5.8S ribosomal RNA". The record is from RNAcentral. Lineage: Eukaryota; Fungi; Ascomycota; Dothideomycetes; Gloniales; Gloniaceae.